RNAcentral lists this small nuclear RNA (151 nucleotides) under Gopherus agassizii (Agassiz's desert tortoise). RNAcentral describes it as "U2 spliceosomal RNA (ENSGAGG00000011479.1)". It matches the Rfam family "U2 spliceosomal RNA", at positions 34 to 185 of the family's 192-position model. Rfam says of the family: U2 is a small nuclear RNA (snRNA) component of the spliceosome (involved in pre-mRNA splicing). Complementary binding between U2 snRNA (in an area lying towards the 5' end but 3' to hairpin I) and the branchpoint sequence (BPS) of the intron results the bulging out of an unpaired adenosine, on the BPS, which initiates a nucleophilic attack at the intronic 5' splice site, thus starting the first of two transesterification reactions that mediate splicing. Lineage: Eukaryota; Metazoa; Chordata; Testudines; Testudinidae. The record is from RNAcentral.
UAGUAUCUGUUCUUAUCAGUUUAAUAUUUGAUAUGUCCUUUAUUUGAGGACUGUAUAUUAAAUUGAUUUUUGAAACAGGGGGAUGGAAUAGGCACUUGCUCUGUCCACCCCAUGCAUUGACCUGGUAUUGCAGUGCCUCCAGGACUGGUAG